AUACGUAUGGUGCAAACGUUGUUCGGAAUCACUGGGCUUAAAGAGCACGUAGGCGGUUGAGAAAGUCUGAUGUGAAAUCCCUCGGCUUAACCGAGGAAUUGCAUUGGAAACUUCUUGGCUAGAGUGUAGGAGGGGAGAGUGGAAUUCCUGGUGGAGCGGUGAAAUGCGUAGAUAUCAGGAGGAACGCCGGAGGCGAAAGCGACUCACUGGCCUGUCUCUGACGCUGAGGUGCGAAAGCUAGGGGAGCGAACGGGAUUAGAAACCCGAGUAGUCC
RNAcentral lists this ribosomal RNA (274 nucleotides) under uncultured bacterium. Its description in RNAcentral is "partial 16S ribosomal RNA". It matches the Rfam family "Bacterial small subunit ribosomal RNA", at positions 523 to 796 of the family's 1533-position model. The record is from RNAcentral.